GGAAUAUUGGACAAUGGGCGAAAGCCUGAUCCAGCAAUGCCGCGUGAGUGAUGAAGGCCUUAGGGUUGUAAAGCUCUUUUACCAGGGAUGAUAAUGACAGUACCUGGAGAAUAAGCUCCGGCUAACUCCGUGCCAGCAGCCGCGGUAAUACGGAGGGAGCUAGCGUUGUUCGGAAUUACUGGGCGUAAAGAGUACGUAGGCGGUGAUUCAAGUCAGAGGUGAAAGCCUGGAGCUCAACUCCAGAACUGCCUUUGAAACUACAUCGCUAGAAUUGUGGAGAGGUUAGUGGAAUUCCGAGUGUAGAGGUGAAAUUCGUAGAUAUUCGGAAGAACACCAGUGGCGAAGGCGACUAACUGGACACAUAUUGACGCUGAGGUACGAAAGCGUGGGGAGCAAACAGGAUUAGAUACCCUGGUAGUCCACGCCGUAAACGAUGAUAACUAGCUGUUCGGGGUCUACGAUCCUGAGUGGCGCAGCUAACGCAUUAAGUUAUCCGCCUGGGGAGUACGGUCGCAAGAUUAAAACUCAAAUGAAUUGACGG
Molecule: ribosomal RNA, 541 nt
Filed under: uncultured bacterium
Lineage: Bacteria
Description: bacterial SSU rRNA
Rfam family: Bacterial small subunit ribosomal RNA
Source: RNAcentral